This is a non-coding RNA of Lonchura striata (white-rumped munia), 384 nucleotides long. The record is from RefSeq and is a predicted model, not a curated record. Lineage: Eukaryota; Metazoa; Chordata; Aves; Passeriformes; Estrildidae.
UCUGCAAUCACAGUUGCAUUUGAUUUAAUACCAGGCAGAGAACAACACUGUGGAGUUGAUGCAUUGGGAAUAUGGACAUUAGUAGGGAUGGUAUCACGGACCUUGGAGCAGAUACCGGGGGGAAGGGAACCCCUCUUCAGGAUGAAAGUAAAAGCUAAAAAAAAUAUAUUUAAAUCUGCUCACACUUUGGACCUGAGCUCUGCAAGAUGGCCUUAGAACCCUGAUCAAAGUGGCAGCUGAAUUAAGAAAAUCUAUGGAGAUUUCCUGGAUGCUGCUGGCUACCAGCUGAUCUGCUGGAGUUGACAUCACUGCCACCCCAUUAAAAAAAAUGGCUUGAGAAUGAAAAGCAGAUAUGACGAUACCACUGUGAAAAAUUCCAGACUG